Molecule: ribosomal RNA, 1070 nt
Filed under: uncultured eukaryote
Lineage: Eukaryota
Description: SSU rRNA
Rfam family: Eukaryotic small subunit ribosomal RNA
Source: RNAcentral
CGGUAAUUCUAUCUCCAAUAGCGUAUAUUAAAGUUGUUGCAGUUAAAAAGCUCGUAGUUGAACCUUGGACCUGGCUGGCCGGUCCGCCUCACCGCGUGUACUGGACCGGCCGGCCCUUUCCUUCUGGACAGCCGCAUGGCCUUCACUGGCCGUGUCGGGAAACCAGAACUUUUACUUUGAACAAAUUAGAGUGUUUAAAGCAGGCCUUUGCUCGAAUACAUUAGCAUGGAAUAAUAGAAUAGGACGUGCGAUCCUAUUUUGUUGGUUUCUAGAACCGCCGUAAUGAUUAAAAGGAAUAGUCGGGGGCAUCAGUAUUCAAUUGUCAAAGGUGAAAUUCUUGAAUUUAUUGAAAACUAACUACUGCAAAAGCAUUUGCCAAAGAUGUUUUCAUUAAUCAGAGAACGAAAGUUAGGGCAUCGAAGACGAUCAGAUACCGUCGUACUCUUAACCAUAAACUAUGACUACUAAUCAUCGGUGGAUGUUACUAUUAUGACUCCAUCGGCCCCUUACGAGAAAUCAAAGUUUUUGGAUUUUGGGGGGAGUAUGGUCGCAAGACUGAAACUUAAAGAAAUUGACGGAAGGGCCCCACCAGGCGUGGAACCUGCGGCUUAAUUUGACUCAACCCGGGGAAACUCUCCAGGUCCAGACACAAUAAGGAUUGACAGAUUGAGAACUCUUUUUUGAUUUUGUGGGUGGUGGUGCAUGGCCGUUUUUAGUUGGUGGAGUGAUUUGUUUGGUUAAUUUCGAUAACGAACGAGACCUUAACCUGCUAAAUAUCCAGACCCGCUUUGGCGGUUCGCCGGCUUCUUAGAGGGACUAUCGGCUCAAUCCGAUGGAACUUUGAGGCAAUAACAGGUCUGUGAUGCCCUUAGAUGUUCUGGGCCGCACGCGCGCUACCCUGACAGAGCCAACGAGUUUUUUUCCUUGGCCGGAAGGUCUGGGUAAUCUUGUUAAACUCUGUCGUGAUGGGGAUAGAUCAUUGCAAUUAUUGCUCUUCAACGAGGAAUUCCUAGUAAGCGCAUGUCAUCAGCAUGCGUUGAUUACGUCCCUGCCCCUUGUACACACCGCCC